CCUACGGGAGGCUGCAGUGGGGAAUAUUGGACAAUGGGCGAAAGCCUGAUCCAGCCAUGCCGCGUGUGUGAAGAAGGCCUUCGGGUUGUAAAGCACUUUCAGUGGGGAAGAAAGCCUUGGGGCUAAUACCCUCGAGGAAGGACAUCACCCACAGAAGAAGCACCGGCUAACUCCGUGCCAGCAGCCGCGGUAAUACGGAGGGUGCGAGCGUUAAUCGGAAUUACUGGGCGUAAAGCGCGCGUAGGCGGUCUGAUAAGCCGGUUGUGAAAGCCCCGGGCUCAACCUGGGAACGGCAUCCGGAACUGUCAGGCUAGAGUGCAGGAGAGGAAGGUAGAAUUCCCGGUGUAGCAGUGAAAUGCGUAGAGAUCGGGAGGAAUACCAGUGGCGAAGGCGGCCUUCUGGACUGACACUGACGCUGAGGUGCGAAAGCGUGGGUAGCAAACAGGAUUAGAUACCCUGGUAGUC
This 465-nucleotide ribosomal RNA is filed under the name Vreelandella stevensii. Its description in RNAcentral is "partial 16S ribosomal RNA". It matches the Rfam family "Bacterial small subunit ribosomal RNA", at positions 338 to 795 of the family's 1533-position model. The record is from RNAcentral. Lineage: Bacteria; Pseudomonadati; Pseudomonadota; Gammaproteobacteria; Oceanospirillales; Halomonadaceae.